CAGUCGAGAUUAGAGUUUGACCUGGCUCAGAACAAACGCUGGCGGCGCGUUUUAAGCAUGCAAGUCGGACGGCAAGAGUUGUAGCAAUAUGACUCCUAGAGUGGCGAACGGGUGAGUAACACGUAGGUGAUCUGCCCUUGAAUGGGGGAUAGUCCGUGGAAACACGGGGUAAUACCGCAUGAGGCCUUGUGGGUAGAGCCAUGAGGUGAAAGGUGCAAUUGCACCGUCUGGGGAUGAGCCUGCGGUCCAUUAGGUAGUUGGCGGGGUAAGAGCCCACCAAGCCGACGAUGGAUAGCCGGCCUGAGAGGGUGUACGGCCACACUGGAACUGAGACACGGUCCAGACUCCUACGGGAGGCAGCAGCUAAGAAUCUUCCGCAAUGGGGGAAACCCUGACGGAGCGACGCCGCGUGGACGAUGGAGGCCGUAAGGUUGUAAAGUCCUUUUCCUGGUGAAGAAUGAGCGGGGGAGUGGAAAGCCCCCGUGAUGACGUUAGCCAGGGAAUAAGCCCCGGCCAAUUACGUGCCAGCAGCCGCGGUAAUACGUAUGGGGCAAGCGUUGUUCGGAGUUAUUGGGCGUAAAGGGCGUGUAGGCGGCUCAUCAAGUCUGGUGUGAAAUUGCAGGGCCCAACCCUGCAGGUGCGCUGGAAACUGGUGGGCUUGAGUUCCUGAGGGGAAGCUGGAAUUCCAGGUGUAGGAGUGAAAUCUGUAGAUAUCUGGAAGAACACCGGUGGCGAAGGCGAGCUUCUAUCAGAGGACUGACGCUGAGGCGCGAAAGCGUGGGGAGCAAACAGGAUUAGAUACCCUGGUAGUCCACGCUGUAAACGAUGUGCACUAGGCGUGGGGCACGUCCGUGCUCUGUGCCGUAGCUAACGUGUUAAGUGCACCGCCUGGGGAGUAUGCUCGCAAGGGUGAAACUCAAAGGAAUUGACGGGGGCCCGCACAAGCGGUGGAGCAUGUGGUUUAAUUCGAUGGUACACGAGGAACCUUACCAGGGCUUGACAUGUACGUGGAUGUUCACGAGAGUGGGCAGCCUCGCAAGGGGCGCGUACACAGGUGCUGCAUGGCUGUCGUCAGCUCGUGUCGUGAGAUGUUGGGUUAAGUCCCGCAACGAGCGCAACCCUUACCGUCUGUUGCCAACAGGUUGUGCUGAGCACUCGGACGGAACUGCCGGUGACAAACCGGAGGAAGGUGGGGAUGACGUCAAGUCAUCAUGGCCCUUAUGUCCUGGGCUACACACGUGCUACAAUGGUCGGUACAAAGCGAAGCGAAACGGCGACGUGGAGCAAAUCGCAGAAAGCCGGUCUCAGUGCGGAUUGGAGUCUGAAACCCGACUCCAUGAAGUUGGAAUCGCUAGUAAUCGCGUAUCAGAAUGGCGCGGUGAAUACGUUCCCGGGCCUUGUACACACCGCCCGUCACACCACCCGAGUUGGGGGUACCCGAAGUCGCUAGUCUAACCGCAAGGGGGACGGCGCCGAAGGUAUGCCUGGUGAGGGGGGUGAAGUCGUAACAAGGUAACCAUCUCUAGAGGA
This 1530-nucleotide ribosomal RNA is filed under the name uncultured bacterium. RNAcentral describes it as "bacterial SSU rRNA". It matches the Rfam family "Bacterial small subunit ribosomal RNA". The record is from RNAcentral.